CCCUUAGAUGUCCGGGGCUGCACGCGCGCUACACUGACUGGCUCAGCGUGUGCCUACCCUACGCCGGCAGGCGCGGGUAACCCGUUGAACCCCAUUCGUGAUGGGGAUCGGGGAUUGCAAUUAUUCCCCAUGAACGAGGAAUUCCCAGUAAGUGCGGGUCAUAAGCUUGCGUUGAUUAAGUCCCUGCCCUUUGUACACACCGCCCGUCGCUACUACCGAUUGAACGGUUUAGUGAGGGCCUCGGAUUGGUCUCGGCCCGCUCUUUACCGGGCGGCGCCGUUGGUCGAGAAGACGCUCGAACUUGAUCGUUUAGAGGAAGUAAAAGUCGUAACA
RNAcentral lists this ribosomal RNA (333 nucleotides) under uncultured eukaryote. RNAcentral describes it as "partial 18S ribosomal RNA". It matches the Rfam family "Eukaryotic small subunit ribosomal RNA", at positions 1470 to 1796 of the family's 1831-position model. The record is from RNAcentral.